This 72-nucleotide transfer RNA is filed under the name Sus scrofa (pig). It matches the Rfam family "tRNA". Rfam says of the family: Transfer RNA (tRNA) molecules are approximately 80 nucleotides in length. Their secondary structure includes four short double-helical elements and three loops (D, anti-codon, and T loops). The record is from Rfam by way of RNAcentral. Lineage: Eukaryota; Metazoa; Chordata; Mammalia; Artiodactyla; Suidae.
UCCCUGGUGGUCUAGUGGUUAGGACUCAGUGCUUUAAGCACUGUGGCCCGGGUUUAAUCCCUGGUCUGGGAA